CACUAUGGCCACGCCACCCUGAACAUGCCCGAUCUCAUCUGGUCUCAGAAGCUAAGCAGGGUCGGGCCUGGUUAGUACUUGGAUGGGAGACCACCUAGGAAUAUCAGGCGCUAUAGGCG
This is a non-coding RNA of Pteropus alecto (black flying fox), 119 nucleotides long. The record is from Rfam. Lineage: Eukaryota; Metazoa; Chordata; Mammalia; Chiroptera; Pteropodidae.